GAUGAACGCUGGCAGCGUGCCUAAUACAUGCAAGUCGAGCGAACGGACGAGAAGCUUGCUUCUCUGAUGUUAGCGGCGGACGGGUGAGUAACACGUGGAUAACCUACCUAUAAGACUGGGAUAACUUCGGGAAACCGGAGCUAAUACCGGAUGAUAUUUUGAACCGCAUGGUUCAAAAGUGAAAGACGGUCUUGCUGUCACUUAUAGAUGGAUCCGCGCUGCAUUAGCUAGUUGGUAAGGUAACGGCUUACCAAGGCAACGAUGCAUAGCCGACCUGAGAGGGUGAUCGGCCACACUGGAACUGAGACACGGUCCAGACUCCUACGGGAGGCAGCAGUAAGGAAUCUUCCGCAAUGGGCGAAAGCCUGACGGAGCAACGCCGCGUGAGUGAUGAAGGUCUUCGGAUCGUAAAACUCUGUUAUUAGGGAAGAACAUAUGUGUAAGUAACUGUGCACAUCUUGACGGUACCUAAUCAGAAAGCCACGGCUAACUACGUG
RNAcentral lists this ribosomal RNA (497 nucleotides) under uncultured bacterium. Its description in RNAcentral is "partial 16S ribosomal RNA". It matches the Rfam family "Bacterial small subunit ribosomal RNA", at positions 28 to 507 of the family's 1533-position model. The record is from RNAcentral.